RNAcentral lists this ribosomal RNA (256 nucleotides) under Harpiosquilla japonica. RNAcentral describes it as "partial 12S ribosomal RNA". Lineage: Eukaryota; Metazoa; Arthropoda; Malacostraca; Stomatopoda; Squillidae. The record is from RNAcentral.
AUAGUUAUAUUCUUGAAACCCAAAGAGUUUGGCGGUAUCUCAGUCUAGUUAGAGGAGCUUGUUCGGUAAUCGAUAAUCCGCGAAAAAUCUUACGCACUUUUGUAAUCAGUUUAUAUACCGUCGUUAUUAGAUAAUACUAAAAAGUAAAUAAUUAUCUAAAUAUAUUUAAAUAUAAUAUAUCAGAUCAAGGUGUAACUUAUGAGUGCGAGUUGAAUGAGCUACAUUUUAGUCUAUAAAAAUGGAUAUUGUUUUUAAA